This 27-nucleotide transfer RNA is filed under the name Faurea rochetiana. Its description in RNAcentral is "partial transfer RNA-Leu". RNAcentral also lists the same sequence under 1 other name. The record is from RNAcentral. Lineage: Eukaryota; Viridiplantae; Streptophyta; Magnoliopsida; Proteales; Proteaceae.
AAAAUCCGUCGACUUUCGAAAUCGUGA